CGUCUCUCUUUCUCUCUCCCAUUAUCUCCAAACUAGAUCAUACAACCUCUCUCUCUCCCCAGAGCAACAGGGCCUGACCGGCCGGCCUCCGUUCAACUUCGGUGAUCGGAUCCACUUCCCCACCAGCCUCUGUCCAACUCCGGCGACCGGAUCCGCUUCCCCACCAGCCUCUGUCAACUUCGAUGAUCGUCAACUUCAGCGAGGUGGUUUUGCGGUGAGGUGUAUCUAUCCCGGCCAUCGACGGGCCCGAUGACAACGACAAGGUAGUGGCUUCACCGGCUGGUGCCGGAUCCGGCGCCCACAACGCGGCUGGGCGGCCUCCUCGUCCAUCUCAUUCCGGGCAGAUCAGCGCGUGAGCACGGGCACCAUGAUGGGUCAUCGUGCACGGUUGUUGCCGGAUCCGGCGACUCCAAGCCUGACCACUACCUAAUCUGAUCGUCGGCCUCCCCUGCUACUUCAAUUUUCAGAUAUUUGCCACUUGAUUUGAACAUUCUUUGUUUGUGACAGAGAGCAUGGGGUAUAGUUUUUUGAAAGAAACCCAGAUCUAUGAAAUUACUUCCCUGUAAUAUAUUUGAAUGUGGUGUUGCAAGUUGUGAAACAAAUUUAUGUGAAAUGUUUUGUGGAAUAGAUGUGAAAUUUAUAUUUCAA
Molecule: long non-coding RNA, 648 nt
Organism: Triticum dicoccoides
Lineage: Eukaryota; Viridiplantae; Streptophyta; Magnoliopsida; Poales; Poaceae
Exons: 2
Source: RefSeq, a predicted model, not a curated record